RNAcentral lists this ribosomal RNA (308 nucleotides) under uncultured microorganism. Its description in RNAcentral is "bacterial SSU rRNA". It matches the Rfam family "Archaeal small subunit ribosomal RNA", at positions 330 to 638 of the family's 1478-position model. The record is from RNAcentral.
GUGCACCAGGCGAGAAUCGUGACCAAUGCACGAAAGUGUGAGCCCGCGAGCUCGAGUGUUAGGGAUACCCCUAACUGUGAUGGAGUGUUCAAAGCUCCAACAGCAAGCAGAGGGCAAGGCUGGUGCCGAGCCGCCGCGGGUAAAACCAGCUCUGCGAGUGCCCAGGACGAUUAUUGGGCUUAAAGCAUCCGUAGCCGGUUCAGUAGGUCCUUGGUUAAAUCUGCAAACCUAAUUUGUAGGCUGUCAGGGAUACCGCUGAACUAGGGAAUGGAAGAGGUGAACGGGUACUGCGAGAGAAGCGGUGAAAU